CUGCUAAAUAGACCAGCUGACUUUAGUGGUGGGCUGCUGUCUUCUUAGAGGGACGAUCGACGUUUAGUCGAUGGAAGUUUGAGGCAAUAACAGGUCUGUGAUGCCCUUAGAUGUUCUGGGCCGCACGCGCGCUACACUGACCGAGGCAGCGAGUUUACAUUCAUCCUUGGCCGGAAGGCCUG
RNAcentral lists this ribosomal RNA (182 nucleotides) under Ruineniaceae sp. RNAcentral's name for it is "partial small subunit ribosomal RNA". It matches the Rfam family "Eukaryotic small subunit ribosomal RNA", at positions 1348 to 1544 of the family's 1831-position model. The record is from RNAcentral. Lineage: Eukaryota; Fungi; Basidiomycota; Agaricostilbomycetes; Agaricostilbales; Ruineniaceae.